GGUUAAGCGACUAAGCGUACACGGUGGAUGCCCUGGCAGUCAGAGGCGAUGAAGGACGUGCUAAUCUGCGAUAAGCGUCGGUAAGGUGAUAUGAACCGUUAUAACCGGCGAUUUCCGAAUGGGGAAACCCAGUGUGAUUUGUCACACUAUCAUUAACUGAAUCCAUAGGUUAAUGAGGCGAACCGGGGGAACUGAAACAUCUAAGUACCCCGAGGAAAAGAAAUCAACCGAGAUUCCCCCAGUAGCGGCGAGCGAACGGGGAGGAGCCCAGAGCCUGAAUCAGUGUGUGUGUUAGUGGAAGCGUCUGGAAAGGCGCGCGAUACAGGGUGACAGCCCCGUACACAAAAAUGCACAUGCUGUGAGCUCGAUGAGUAGGGCGGGACACGUGGUAUCCUGUCUGAAUAUGGGGGGACCAUCCUCCAAGGCUAAAUACUCCUGACUGACCGAUAGUGAACCAGUACCGUGAGGGAAAGGCGAAAAGAACCCCGGCGAGGGGAGUGAAAAAGAACCUGAAACCGUGUACGUACAAGCAGUGGGAGCACGCUUCGGCGUGUGACUGCGUACCUUUUGUAUAAUGGGUCAGCGACUUAUAUUCUGUAGCAAGGUUAACCGAAUAGGGGAGCCGAAGGGAAACCGAGUCUUAACUGGGCGUUAAGUUGCAGGGUAUAGACCCGAAACCCGGUGAUCUAGCCAUGGGCAGGUUGAAGGUUGGGUAACACUAACUGGAGGACCGAACCGACUAAUGUUGAAAAAUUAGCGGAUGACUUGUGGCUGGGGGUGAAAGGCCAAUCAAACCGGGAGAUAGCUGGUUCUCCCCGAAAGCUAUUUAGGUAGCGCCUCGUGAAUUCAUCUCCGGGGGUAGAGCACUGUUUCGGCAAGGGGGUCAUCCCGACUUACCAACCCGAUGCAAACUGCGAAUACCGGAGAAUGUUAUCACGGGAGACACACGGCGGGUGCUAACGUCCGUCGUGAAGAGGGAAACAACCCAGACCGCCAGCUAAGGUCCCAAAGUCAUGGUUAAGUGGGAAACGAUGUGGGAAGGCCCAGACAGCCAGGAUGUUGGCUUAGAAGCAGCCAUCAUUUAAAGAAAGCGUAAUAGCUCACUGGUCGAGUCGGCCUGCGCGGAAGAUGUAACGGGGCUAAACCAUGCACCGAAGCUGCGGCAGCGACACUAUGUGUUGUUGGGUAGGGGAGCGUUCUGUAAGCCUGUGAAGGUGGCCUGUGAGGGUUGCUGGAGGUAUCAGAAGUGCGAAUGCUGACAUAAGUAACGAUAAAGCGGGUGAAAAGCCCGCUCGCCGGAAGACCAAGGGUUCCUGUCCAACGUUAAUCGGGGCAGGGUGAGUCGACCCCUAAGGCGAGGCCGAAAGGCGUAGUCGAUGGGAAACAGGUUAAUAUUCCUGUACUUGGUGUUACUGCGAAGGGGGGACGGAGAAGGCUAUGUUGGCCGGGCGACGGUUGUCCCGGUUUAAGCGUGUAGGCUGAUUUUCCAGGCAAAUCCGGAAAAUCAAGGCUGAGGCGUGAUGACGAGGCACUACGGUGCUGAAGCAACAAAUGCCCUGCUUCCAGGAAAAGCCUCUAAGCAUCAGGUAACAUCAAAUCGUACCCCAAACCGACACAGGUGGUCAGGUAGAGAAUACCAAGGCGCUUGAGAGAACUCGGGUGAAGGAACUAGGCAAAAUGGUGCCGUAACUUCGGGAGAAGGCACGCUGAUAUGUAGGUGAAGCGACUUGCUCGUGGAGCUGAAAUCAGUCGAAGAUACCAGCUGGCUGCAACUGUUUAUUAAAAACACAGCACUGUGCAAACACGAAAGUGGACGUAUACGGUGUGACGCCUGCCCGGUGCCGGAAGGUUAAUUGAUGGGGUUAGCGGUAACGCGAAGCUCUUGAUCGAAGCCCCGGUAAACGGCGGCCGUAACUAUAACGGUCCUAAGGUAGCGAAAUUCCUUGUCGGGUAAGUUCCGACCUGCACGAAUGGCGUAAUGAUGGCCAGGCUGUCUCCACCCGAGACUCAGUGAAAUUGAACUCGCUGUGAAGAUGCAGUGUACCCGCGGCAAGACGGAAAGACCCCGUGAACCUUUACUAUAGCUUGACACUGAACAUUGAGCCUUGAUGUGUAGGAUAGGUGGGAGGCUUUGAAGUGUGGACGCCAGUCUGCAUGGAGCCGACCUUGAAAUACCACCCUUUAAUGUUUGAUGUUCUAACGUUGACCCGUGAUCCGGGUUGCGGACAGUGUCUGGUGGGUAGUUUGACUGGGGCGGUCUCCUCCUAAAGAGUAACGGAGGAGCACGAAGGUUGGCUAAUCCUGGUCGGACAUCAGGAGGUUAGUGCAAUGGCAUAAGCCAGCUUGACUGCGAGCGUGACGGCGCGAGCAGGUGCGAAAGCAGGUCAUAGUGAUCCGGUGGUUCUGAAUGGAAGGGCCAUCGCUCAACGGAUAAAAGGUACUCCGGGGAUAACAGGCUGAUACCGCCCAAGAGUUCAUAUCGACGGCGGUGUUUGGCACCUCGAUGUCGGCUCAUCACAUCCUGGGGCUGAAGUAGGUCCCAAGGGUAUGGCUGUUCGCCAUUUAAAGUGGUACGCGAGCUGGGUUUAGAACGUCGUGAGACAGUUCGGUCCCUAUCUGCCGUGGGCGCUGGAGAACUGAGGGGGGCUGCUCCUAGUACGAGAGGACCGGAGUGGACGCAUCACUGGUGUUCGGGUUGUCAUGCCAAUGGCACUGCCCGGUAGCUAAAUGCGGAAGAGAUAAGUGCUGAAAGCAUCUAAGCACGAAACUUGCCCCGAGAUGAGUUCUCCCUGACUCCUUGAGAGUCCUGAAGGAACGUUGAAGACGACGACGUUGAUAGGCCGGGUGUGUAAGCGCAGCGAUGCGUUGAGCUAACCGGUACUAAUGAACCGUGAGGCUUAACCUU
Molecule: ribosomal RNA, 2905 nt
Filed under: Escherichia coli
Lineage: Bacteria; Pseudomonadati; Pseudomonadota; Gammaproteobacteria; Enterobacterales; Enterobacteriaceae
Description: 23S ribosomal RNA
Rfam family: Bacterial large subunit ribosomal RNA
Source: RNAcentral